GGCUCUGUAGUUGAAAAUUGGUUACAACAGUAAAUUGCAAAUUUGAAGGUAUGGUAAUACAGUUCCAUUAGGGCAU
Molecule: transfer RNA, 76 nt
Filed under: Tegula lividomaculata
Lineage: Eukaryota; Metazoa; Mollusca; Gastropoda; Trochida; Tegulidae
Description: tRNA-Cys
Source: RNAcentral